This 453-nucleotide ribosomal RNA is filed under the name uncultured bacterium. RNAcentral's name for it is "bacterial SSU rRNA". It matches the Rfam family "Bacterial small subunit ribosomal RNA", at positions 340 to 786 of the family's 1533-position model. The record is from RNAcentral.
UACGGAAGGCAGCAGUGGGGAAUAUUGCACAAUGGGCGCAAGCCUGAUGCAGCCAUGCCGCGUGUAUGAAGAAGGCCUUCGGGUUGUAAAGUACUUUCAGCGGGGAGGAAGGCGAUGCGGUUAAUAACCGCGUCGAUUGACGUUACCCGCAGAAGAAGCACCGGCUAACUCCGUGCCAGCAGCCGCGGUAAUACGGAGGGUGCAAGCGUUAAUCGGAAUUACUGGGCGUAAAGCGCACGCAGGCGGUCUGUUAAGUCAGAUGUGAAAUCCCCGGGCUUAACCUGGGAACUGCAUUUUGAACUGGCAGGCUUGAGUCUUGUAGAGGGGGUAGAAUUCCAGGUGUAGCGGUGAAAUGCGUAGAGAUCUGGAGGAAUACCGGUGGCGAAGGCGGCCCCUGGACAAAGCUGACGCUCAGGGUGCGAAAGCGUGGGGAGCAAACAGGAUUAGGAUACC